GCACUGAUGAGGAGUUCCAUACUAGGACGAAACGGCCGUCUAGUGC
This 46-nucleotide non-coding RNA is filed under the name Schistosoma margrebowiei. Lineage: Eukaryota; Metazoa; Platyhelminthes; Trematoda; Strigeidida; Schistosomatidae. The record is from RNAcentral.